RNAcentral lists this long non-coding RNA (249 nucleotides) under Mytilus galloprovincialis (Mediterranean mussel). Lineage: Eukaryota; Metazoa; Mollusca; Bivalvia; Mytilida; Mytilidae. The record is from RNAcentral.
AACUUACAUACAGUAAUACCAUUGGGUUACCCCCUGGUCCCCUAUAUAAACAUACAUACAGUAAUAACAUUCGGUUACCCCUGGUCCCCAUAUAAACUUACAUACAAUAAUAACAUUCAGUUACCCCUGGUCCCCCAUAUAAACUUACAUACAGUAAUAACAUUGGGUAACCCCUGGUCCCCCAUAUAAACUUACAUACAGUAAUACCAUUGGGUUACCCCUGGUCCCCCAUAUAAACUUACAUACAGC